Molecule: ribosomal RNA, 253 nt
Filed under: uncultured bacterium
Lineage: Bacteria
Description: partial 16S ribosomal RNA
Rfam family: Bacterial small subunit ribosomal RNA
Source: RNAcentral
UACGUAGGGUGCGAGCGUUAAUCGGAACUACUGGGCGUAAAGCGUGCGCAGGCGGUUUUGUAAGCCAGAUGUGAAAGCCCCGGGCUUAACCUGGGAAUGGCAUUUGGGACUGCAAGGCUCGAGUGCGGCAGAGGAGACUGGAAUUCCUGGUGUAGCAGUGAAAUGCGUAGAUAUCAGGAGGAAUACCGAUGGCGAAGGCAGGUCUCUGGGCUGACACUGACGCUCAUGCACGAAAGCGUGGGGAGCGAACAGG